Molecule: long non-coding RNA, 832 nt
Filed under: Equus caballus (horse)
Lineage: Eukaryota; Metazoa; Chordata; Mammalia; Perissodactyla; Equidae
Description: lncRNA (ENSECAG00000051539.1)
Source: RNAcentral
CAAGAGGCCAGUGUGAGUUAGGGAAACGCCCCCUCAUAGAAGUAGGAGACAGCUGGUUUCACUUUGCUGCAUGACCCCGGCCUGUGGAAUUUGCUGGUCCUUCCUUAGAAUGGUGGGAUUAAUACAAUGAAUCUAAUCCUCUUUCAGACUUUGCUGGGACCACCCAAACCAAGAGAGAAAAGAACCACGGUUGGUGGCUUGGCAUGGGUGGGCGCUGAUAUUCUAUCAUUCCUGACUAGCGGGUUCCUCGCUUUAUGAAGCCUUCCUUCCCAAGGGGAGCAGCCACUACCACCACAGGGGCUGCUUCUUUUGCUGCUGCUGCCAUCGCCACCACCAAUCAGGGCCCAGGUCCCUGCUCAGCCACCACCGGGGAAAUUCACAGAGCCCGGGACUGUCCCAGAUAAGGAAACUCAGAUGUGGAGAGAACUCGCCCAGGGCCACGGAACUAGUGAUGGUAUGGCAAGGAUUCAGACCGAAGCCCGGGCUCUAAACCACGACACUGCACCAAUUCUCCACACAUCAGCGAGCUCACCAAAUGGCCCCCUAUACUGCAUCAUAACUUUGUACUGAAUACAGUCCUGCACCGCACAAUGAUGUUCCAAGUCGACGACAGGCCACAUAUACAACGGUGGUCCCAUAAGAUUAUAAUGGAGCUGAAAACUUCCUAUCGCCUAGUGACAUUAUAGCCGUUGUAACAUCAUAGCUCAGUGCAUUACUCAUGUGUUUGUGCUGAUGCUGGUGUAAAUAAACCUACCAUGCUGCCGUCAGUUCUAUAAAAGUGUAGCACGUACAAUUAUGUACAGUACAUAAUACUUGAUAAUAAUAAUAAGCG